Molecule: ribosomal RNA, 443 nt
Filed under: uncultured bacterium
Lineage: Bacteria
Description: partial 16S ribosomal RNA
Rfam family: Bacterial small subunit ribosomal RNA
Source: RNAcentral
CCUACGGGUGGCAGCAGUGGGGAAUAUUGGGCAAUGGGCGCAAGCCUGACCCAGCAACGCAGCGUGAAGGAAGAAAGCUUUCGGGUUGUACACUUCUUUUCUCAGUGACGAAGAAAGUGACGGUACCUGAGGAAUAAGCCACGGCUAACUACGUGCCAGCAGCCGCGGUAAUACGUAGGUGGCAAGCGUUAUCCGGAUUUAUUGGGUGUACAGGGCGUGUAGGCGGGAGCGCAAGUCAGAUGUUAAAACUCAGGGAUCAACCCUGAGCCUGCAUUUGAAACUGUGUUUCUUGAGUGCUGGAGAGGCAAUCGGAAUUCCGUGUGUAGCGGUGAAAUGCGUAGAUAUACGGAGGAACACCAGUGGCGAAGGCGGAUUGCUGGACAGUAACUGACGCUGAGGCGCGAAAGCGUGGGGAGCAAACAGGAUUAGAUACCCGUGUAGUC